Molecule: long non-coding RNA, 3824 nt
Filed under: Zostera marina
Lineage: Eukaryota; Viridiplantae; Streptophyta; Magnoliopsida; Alismatales; Zosteraceae
Description: long non-coding RNA (ZMAR_LNC005851)
Source: RNAcentral
GUAUCCUUCUUUUUUAAGUUUAAUUUGGCUGUUCUCUUUCACGGUGAGUGCUGUUUUGAUGAGUUGUUUGUUCAGGUUAAGUUCUUAAAUGAAAUAAAUAGACAAGAAGAAUGAAAACAAAGAGGUGAGGGUUAAUGAAUUUCUUCCAGCAGAUGAAGCAAUCAAAGCAAUUGAAAAAUCAAUGUAAGUCUUAUUUUAUUGUACAUAAUGAAAACUACUUUUCUGAGGUAAUUUCAAAGCAUUAAGUGAAUAGAAUCCAGUUGGAGCUAUUUCAAUUCCUCUGUGUGCAUUGAUUUCUUUCCAACAUAUUAAGUUGUUCUGUGGGUUUACUGCCUGGGUACAGGGAUCUCUAUGGUUCAUACAUUGUUGAAAGUCUGAGGCACUGACUGAGCCUUGAUGUUGAAAUUGGAACAUAUAUUAUACACACAUAUAUGCAAGACAAAAACUUAUAUAUGCCUGCUUUUAUUUGCAGUAAUUGAUUUCCUCAAUUUUAGUUUUUUGUUCCUAAGAUAAUACUGUACUAUCUCUACAGACUACAUUACAAGAAACAUCAAUGCAAAUUUAACUUUCUAAAUCCUCUGAAAAGUAUAUUGAGCCCUAAUUAGGGCAUAGAGGGGAAGAAACUAUGAUACUUUAGAUCACUAGAUUUUUAUCUCGACAUAAAAUUGAGGAAUAUUUGCACAAUAUAAUUGAGUGGGAAUUUAAAAGAGAAUUUAUGCAACAAAAUCAAAUUGAUGUGUAGGAUAUUUUCUUAUCCUUAUCCUAUGAUUGAGUAAAUUUGUUCUUGGUAUUCUGAUCUGAAGGUUUUUUACUUUUCUCUGAAGUUGUUUUCUUUAUACUUGAUAUUACCACAUCCUUUACCUUUCAACAUUCUAGUGGAUUACACUGUGUCUACUAAAAAAAGGAAGAAGAGAGGAUUGGCCUUCUUCCACCUCUAGUAGUAGUAUCAAUUUUUUUUUGAAUAUCAAAUCUUGGUUUGAUUAUUUUUCUUCUUCCAAAACCACACUUUUUUUUGCUUUCUUUGAUUCUUUCCAGCUACUUUGUUUAUUAAAAUAACAGACCGUAUAUAAUUCUUUUCUUUAAAAAGACGAACAUUUUGUUAAUGUAAAGUUUGAUUAAUCACACAUAAAGAUUAAUUUACUUCAUGAACUCUUAAAAGGGUUUCGCAGAGGUUACAUAGGGAGAUUAGUUUAAUUGGUCACAGUAACUAUUAAAGUUUAUGAGAAUUCAGAAUUCGAGUUUCGUUAUAUAUGGAAUCAGUGAUAUAUGUAAUCUGGUGGUUAUUUAUAAAUUUGUAAAAAGAUAUCUUCCACUAUAAAAAAAAAUCUACUACUUCUCAUUAAUUUGGAUGGUAUCUUUUUACUGGUAGAAAUGUUUAUCUUCCGAUGAGUUUUAUGAAACUAAUUAUUAAUUUUACAAAUGAGUAUUGAUGAUUUCAGAUUUUCAGACGUAUAUUAUCAUUUUUUUUUUAUAAUGGAAAAUAUUUUCUACCUGAUAUAAAAAUGUUUAUUUUUGAAUCACACAAUAAUUUGGAUCGUAUGGUUAUAUGAUUAUAUCGUAUUAUAGAAUAUAUUUGGAAUAAUUUAAGAGAGUGGAAUAAAUGAAAUCAAUAGAAUUAUAGAAUCAAGAAUAAAAGAAUAUAAUAUGAAAAAACAACGGGUAAGCAAUUAUAAAAAAUAACCCACAACGAACUCUGUCUAAAAAUUCUGCAGAGAUGAUGAAGUCGUACCGGAAAAGCCCGAUCGUCGGUCUCCUCCGUUGCGGCGAAGUAGUCAUAUUCGUCUUCAUCUUGGUAUACUUCUUAUCCACCGACUUCAUCUCCACCUCCAACUUGUUCCUCCGCCGCACAGGAUCUCUCUUGAUCUCCACACCAUUCAUUUUCCUCAUCGGAAAUAUCAUCGUCCUCACACUUUUCGCCAAUUCAAAGCAGCAGCAGCAGCAGAAACAGCAACCUCCACAUAAAAAUACCGGAAUCUACGUCGACGAUAUUCAUCGUAUGGGAAGAUCAGUUUCAAUGUCAGUGCAACAUGGAGUUGGAAGAGGAAGAAGGAGGUCUUGCUUCCGCAGAAGCAGAUCGGAUCACUUGAAGCAACUUGAAACCUCGUCGGAGUCCAAAACCAUGGUCGGAGUGAUAAGCAGCUGUCCAACCACACCUACUACCUGUAGUAGUAAGAAGGAAUAUAACUACAGGGAAGAAGAAGACGACGAUGAGAAAUUGAGACGACGAUUUGAGGCGUUCAUUGCCAAGCAGAAAAGGUUUAUCAGAGACGAGGAGUGUUUAUAAUUAAUUAACUAAUAUGAGGUUCUUUCGAAAUUUACCCAUAUUUAUGGCGUGGCAUGGAUGUAAAUAACUGUUAAUUUAGUUUCUUUUCAUAAGGAUUAAGAAUUGUAUUUGUAAUACGUAAGUGUUAAUUAAUUAAUUAGCACAUUAGGUACGAAUGAGCUUUAUUCCUUUUGUAAAAAUCUCUAAUAUUUUGUAACAACCUUUAAGGAAUAAUUCCACAAAUAUAUUCAUCCACCUUGAUAUCAUAGGGUGUCAAGUAAAGCUCGACUCGAUGGGCUCGACUCGGACUCGGUUCGUUAAGCUCGGGGUCAUGAACCCAACGAGCCGAGUCUGAACCUAAAGCUCAAGCUCGUUAAGUUUAACAAGCCGAGCUCGGUGGACUCGUAAAAAGUAUAAAAAAAUAUUAUAUUUAAAAAGAAUGAAGUUGUAGCAUAGAUCGGUAAAAAGUUUGUUUCGCAUGGGAGAGGUCACGGAUUCGAUCUUUCAUGUCUUCAAAUUAUUUAUUUUAACCUGCAGGAUAAGUUCAAACCCGGACUCGUGGGCCCGAGCCUGACAAUUUUUAAAACGAGCCGAGCUCGAGCCCGAGCAUGGAUAACUCCUUAACGAGCCGAGCCCAGUCGAGUCCAAGCCUGAUUCUAUAAGCAAAAGCUUAGCUCAGCUCGUUUGACAUCUUAUAAUCACAUAAUAUAUUAUCGGUUAUAUUAUAGCGAAAAUUUAAUAAAAAUUACGUAUAUAAUGAGAUUUAAAUCAUAAACCCUCAGAAACUUUAAUAGUUACUGUGACCAAUUAAGCUAAUCUUUCAAUGUUUAACUUAAUAUAUAUAUUUAAUGCUUAUGGAAUGGUAUAUUGAAUUGAAAAUGUGAUUAUAUUAGAAAGAGAUUUUGCUUUGUAUGGAUGUAUGGUGUGGGAAGGGAACAGUAGCCUCAGCAGGAAAUAUAACAGACACCCUCAAAAUUCCAGUAGAAGAUCAUCUCCUAGCUAGCAGAGUGUGGUGUUGCCAAACACCAAAAAUGUCAAUUUUGUUGUAGGGACGAAGAUGGAAUAAGUUGCAUACUAUGAACUUGGAGGUGCUAUCGACGAGAAGGGGAGAAAGAGAUGAGAAUGGAUUAUGAGUAAACCCUAGAAAGAUGAAGAAAAGAAGAUGUCGAGUGAAUUUGGAUCCACACUCUACUUCAAAUACAGAGUGAUUCGUAUGAAUUUAGAUCCCCUUUCGGAGGAAAAUCCAUCCUUAUUUAUAGAGAUUUGUAGGGGGUAUUUUGAUAACUUCACUCACACAAAUCAUGGUCUGGGGGCGACUGCAGCCUAGUAACUUAAUAGGAAUCACCUGGAUUGGAAAUAAUUUUAAGAAAGAGUUCACCUUAAGUAAGGUGAGUCUCAAGUCCGUGGAUCAACAGAUCGCAGAUACCUGAAGGCAAGAACAACAGGAUCAAUCCCUUAUCUCAAGACUUAACCUUUCUGAUUGAUGUUGUUAAGCGAUUAGAGGAGGGGCUUGAUUUGGCAAUAAUACAACGGGAGACGUUGCUGGAGAUGGAGCGUGCGG